RNAcentral lists this transfer RNA (92 nucleotides) under Streptomyces thermoviolaceus subsp. apingens. RNAcentral's name for it is "tRNA-His". Lineage: Bacteria; Bacillati; Actinomycetota; Actinomycetes; Kitasatosporales; Streptomycetaceae. RNAcentral also lists the same sequence under 1 other name. The record is from RNAcentral.
CUCCCGUGGUGGAGCCCGGGCCGCCGCCCAGGUGGAGGGCGAGCAGGGGCACCGCGGUGUUCCCGGCCGCGUUCGAGCCGCGGACGGCGUCC